Molecule: ribosomal RNA, 795 nt
Filed under: Stichotrichia sp. cPFT3
Lineage: Eukaryota; Ciliophora; Spirotrichea
Description: SSU rRNA
Rfam family: Eukaryotic small subunit ribosomal RNA
Source: RNAcentral
GUAAAUUACCCAAUCCUGACUCAGGGAGGUAGUGACAAGAAAUAACGGACCGAAGCCUAUGUUUCGGGAUUGCAAUGAGUAGAAUUUAAACCCCUUUACGAGGAUCAAUUGGAGGGCAAGUCUGGUGCCAGCAGCCGCGGUAAUUCCAGCUCCAAUAGCAUAUAUUAAAGUUGUUGCAGUUAAAAAGCUCGUAGUUGGAUUUCUGGAGGGGUGCCGAAGUCCGCUCGAUAGCGUGUGCUGAGGCGCCCUUCCAUCCUUCUGUUAACGUUUCUUGGUAUUCAGUUACUGGUUUCGGGCUCAGAUAUUUUACCUUGAGAAAAUUAGAGUGUUCCAGGCAGGCUUGCGCCGGAAUACAUUAGCAUGGAAUAAUAGAAUAGGACUUUUGUCUCCUUUGUUGGUUUGAGGGACUGAAGUAAUGAUUAAUAGGGAUAGUUGGGGGCAUUAGUAUUUAAUUGUCAGAGGUGAAAUUCUCGGAUUUGUUAAAGACUAACUUAUGCGAAAGCAUUUGCCAAGGAUGUUUUCAUUAAUCAAGAACGAAAGUUAGGGGAUCAAAGACGAUCAGAUACCGUCCUAGUCUUAACCAUAAACUAUGCCGACUAGGGAUCGGAGGCGCGCUUUAUCCGCCUUCGGCACCUUAUGAGAAAUCAAAGUCUUUGGGUUCUGGGGGGAGUAUGGUCGCAAGGCUGAAACUUAAAGGAAUUGACGGAAGGGCACCACCAGGAGUGGAGCUUGCGGCUCAAUUUGACUCAACACGGGAAAACUUACCAGGUCCAGACAUAGUGAGGAUUGACAGAU